GUUAUAGGGUCAAGCGAACAAGUGCAUGUGGUGGAUGCCUUGGCGAUCACAGGCGAUGAAGGACGCGGUAGCCUGCGAAAAGCUUCGGGGAGCUGGCAAACGAGCUUUGAUCCGGAGAUGUCCGAAUGGGGAAACCCGGCCCGUAUGGGUCAUCCCACACUGAAUCCAUAGGUGUGGGAAGCGAACGCGGCGAACUGAAACAUCUAAGUAGCUGCAGGAACAGAAAUCAACCGAGAUUCCCAAAGUAGUGGCGAACGAAAUGGGAACAGCCUUGUACUCUUUAGCAGUGGUGUUAGCAGAACGGGAUGGAAAGCCCGGCCAUAGCAGGUGAUAGCCCUGUAUGCGAAAACACGAUUGUGGAACUAGGUGUACGACAAGUAGGGCGGGACACGUGAAAUCCUGUCUGAAGAUGGGGGGACCAUCCUCCAAGGCUAAAUACUCGUGAUCGACCGAUAGUGAACCAGUACCGUGAGGGAAAGGCGAAAAGAACCCCGGGAGGGGAGUGAAAUAGAUCCUGAAACCGCAUGCAUACAAACAGUCGGAGCCCUUUCGGGGGUGACGGCGUACCUUUUGUAUAAUGGGUCAGCGACUUACAUUCAGUGGCAAGCUUAACCGGUUAGGGAAGGCGUAGCGAAAGCGAGUCCGAACAGGGCGUUGAGUCGCUGGGUGUAGACCCGAAACCAGAUGAUCUAUCCAUGGCCAGGUUGAAGGUGCGGUAACACGUACUGGAGGACCGAACCCACUAACGUUGAAAAGUUAGGGGAUGAGCUGUGGAUAGGGGUGAAAGGCUAAACAAAUCUGGAAAUAGCUGGUUCUCUCCGAAAACUAUUUAGGUAGUGCCUCGUGUCUCACCUUCGGGGGUAGAGCACUGUCAUGGUUGGGGGGUCUAUUGCUGAUUACCCCGCCAUAGCAAACUCCGAAUACCGAAGAGUGCAAUCACGGGAGACAGACAUCGGGUGCUAACGUCCGGUGUCAAGAGGGAAACAACCCAGACCGCCAGCUAAGGUCCCAAAGAUUGGCUAAGUGGGAAACGAAGUGGGAAGGCUAAAACAGUCAGGAGGUUGGCUUAGAAGCAGCCACCCUUUAAAGAAAGCGUAAUAGCUCACUGAUCGAGUCGUCCUGCGCGGAAGAUGUAACGGGGCUAAGCCAGUCACCGAAGCUGCGGACGCGUGCGUUCCUUUAAGUGCACCAAGCUUGUCGAUGCGCAGCAUCGACAAAGCCACCAACAAUGAUCGCUGGUGGUCGUGCUAGUGGAUUUAAAGGAGCGCACGCGUGGUAGGAGAGCGUUCUGUAAGCCUGUGAAGGUGUCUUGUAAAGGAUGCUGGAGGUAUCAGAAGUGCGAAUGCUGACAUGAGUAGCGAUAAAGGGGGUGAAAGGCCCCCUCGCCGUAAGCCCAAGGUUUCCUACGCAACGUUCAUCGGCGUAGGGUGAGUCGGCCCCUAAGGCGAGGCAGAGAUGCGUAGCUGAUGGGAAGCAGGUUAAUAUUCCUGCACCGUCGUAUGAUGCGAUGGGGGGACGGAUCGCGGAAGGUUCUCCGGGUGUUGGAAGUCCCGGUCCCUGUAGUGGAGAAGGCGCUUAGGCAAAUCCGGGCGCGUAAUUCAAGGCUACGGGGCGAGCGGCCUAGUGCUGCGAAGCAAUUGGAAGUGGUUCCAAGAAAAGCCUCUAAGCUUCAGUCAUACGAGACCGUACCGCAAACCGACACAGGUGGGCGAGAUGAGUAUUCUAAGGCGCUUGAGAGAACUCGGGAGAAGGAACUCGGCAAAUUGGUACCGUAACUUCGGGAUAAGGUACGCCCUGGUAGCUUGACUGGCCUGCGCCAGAAGGGUGAAGGGGUUGCAAUAAAAUGGUGGCUGCGACUGUUUAAUAAAAACACAGCACUCUGCAAACACGAAAGUGGACGUAUAGGGUGUGACGCCUGCCCGGUGCCGGAAGAUUAAAUGAUGGGGUGCAAGCUCUUGAUUGAAGUCCCGGUAAACGGCGGCCGUAACUAUAACGGUCCUAAGGUAGCGAAAUUCCUUGUCGGGUAAGUUCCGACCUGCACGAAUGGCGUAACGAUGGCCACACUGUCUCCUCCCGAGACUCAGCGAAGUUGAAGUGUUUGUGAUGAUGCAAUCUCCCCGCGGCUAGACGGAAAGACCCCAUGAACCUUUACUGUAGCUUUGCAUUGGACUUUGAACCGAUCUGUGUAGGAUAGGUGGGAGGCUUUGAAGCGUGGACGCCAGUUCACGUGGAGCCGUCCUUGAAAUACCACCCUGGUUUGUUUGAGGUUCUAACCUUGGCCCGUGAAUCCGGGUCGGGGACAGUGCAUGGUAGGCAGUUUGACUGGGGCGGUCUCCUCCCAAAGUGUAACGGAGGAGUUCGAAGGUACGCUUGGUACGGUCGGACAUCGUACCUAAAGUGCAAUGGCAAAAGCGUGCUUAACUGCGAGACCGACAAGUCGAGCAGGUGCGAAAGCAGGACAUAGUGAUCCGGUGGUUCUGAAUGGAAGGGCCAUCGCUCAACGGAUAAAAGGUACUCUGGGGAUAACAGGCUGAUACCGCCCAAGAGUUCAUAUCGACGGCGGUGUUUGGCACCUCGAUGUCGGCUCAUCUCAUCCUGGGGCUGUAGCCGGUCCCAAGGGUAUGGCUGUUCGCCAUUUAAAGAGGUACGUGAGCUGGGUUUAAAACGUCGUGAGACAGUUUGGUCCCUAUCUGCCGUGGGCGUUGGAAUCUUGACGGGGGCUGCUCCUAGUACGAGAGGACCGGAGUGGACGUACCGCUGGUGUACCUGUUGUCUCGCCAGAGGCAUCGCAGGGUAGCUAUGUACGGAAGAGAUAACCGCUGAAAGCAUCUAAGCGGGAAACUCGCCUGAAGAUGAGGAUUCCCUGGAGGCUUGACCUCCUUGAAGGGUCGUUCGAGACCAGGACGUUGAUAGGCUGGGUGUGGAAGCGCAGUAAUGCGUUAAGCUAACCAGUACUAAUUGCCCGUAAGGCUUGAUCCUAUAACCAGUGUGUUUCA
RNAcentral lists this ribosomal RNA (2996 nucleotides) under Cupriavidus nantongensis. RNAcentral describes it as "bacterial LSU rRNA". It matches the Rfam family "Bacterial large subunit ribosomal RNA". The record is from RNAcentral. Lineage: Bacteria; Pseudomonadati; Pseudomonadota; Betaproteobacteria; Burkholderiales; Burkholderiaceae.